This 788-nucleotide long non-coding RNA is filed under the name Volvox carteri. RNAcentral's name for it is "long non-coding RNA (VCAR_LNC001078)". Lineage: Eukaryota; Viridiplantae; Chlorophyta; Chlorophyceae; Chlamydomonadales; Volvocaceae. The record is from RNAcentral.
UAGCACGGUAUCGUGCACGGUAAGUCUGGGCCGCAAGCAUAGGGUUUUAACUGCUGUUCGCGCUUAAAUGCAACCGUUAGUCGUUGGAAUCCGCAUGUUUAACCGUGUCAUCUUUACUUGUGCAGGGUCUCCUCUCCGCAGACUUUGUGUUUGAAGCUCUGAAGGACUGCGCGGCCUCAGCUCUAACGAGGCUGCGACGUACGUGAGGCGCCUUAGCACGGUAUCGUGCACGGUAAGUCUGGGCCGCAAGCAUAGGGUUUUAACUGCUGUUCGCGCUUAAAUGCAACCGUUAGUCGUUGGAAUCCGCAUGUUUAACCGUGUCAUCUGUACUUGUGCAGGGUCUCCUCUCCGCAGACUUUGUGUUUGAAGCUUCUGAAGGACUGCGCGGCCUCAGCUUUAACGAGGCUGCGACGUACGUGAGGCGCCUUAGCACGGUAUCGUGCACGGUAAGUCUGGGCCGCAAGCAUAGGGUUUUAACUGCUGUUCGCGCUUAAAUGCAACCGUUAGUCGUUGGAAUCCGCAUGUUUAACCGUGUCAUCUUUACUUGUGCAGGGUCUCCUCUCCGCAGACUUUGUGUUUGAAGCUCUGAAGGACUGCGCGGCCUCAGCUCUAACGAGGCUGCGACGUACGUGAGGCGCCUUAGCACGGUAUCGUGCACGGUAAGUCUGGGCCGCAAGCUUAGGGUUUUAACUGCUGUUCGCGCUUAAAUGCAACCGUUAGUCGUUGGAAUCCGCAUGUUUAACCGUGUCAUCUGUACUUGUGCAGGGUCUCCUCUCCGCAGACUUUGU